UAGUGUCUGGACGGAAGGGGGAAGAAUCUUCAUCCACUUCAUUAUCUGAAUUGUUCACCCGGUAACUUUUGCCAUGACAAUUUUACAAAUUAAGGUUUUCUUUUAAAAUUGAGGAAUAAUUGACAUUUCAUCAAGGGCACAGAUCUUCAGCAUGGAGCAUAGACCCAAGGGACCACCAUAAAGCUCAAGAUGUAGGACAUCUCCAUCAAUUCAGGAGGCUCCCUCCCAGUUACCCCCACUCCAGAGGGUCUCAUUUUGUUGCUGAGGCUGGAGUGCGGUGGCACAAACGUGGCUCGCUGCAGUCUUGACAUUCUGGGCUCAAGUGAUCCUCCCAUCUUGGCCUCCCGAGUAGCUGGGACCACAGGCCAUGAUACUGCUAGUGGUGCAGAACGAAGUUUAGACAAGGAGGUGCAUGGCCGAGAGCAAUCUGGAAACGAUCAGAGAGGCCAGUUGCAUAAUGAUGGAGAAGCCGCUGUUUUGCAGCCACGAAAAUCAUGCCUGGAGAGAGAAUGUUCCGGGAUGUGAAAUUAUUCACAAUCUAUUGUUCAAAGAAGACAGUUGAUUAUGGGACAGAAGGGAUGCUAUGGCCUUCCAGAGCUCCAGAAGAGGGCUGAGCCAGCCCUUGGGAUGACUAUGAGAGGACAGGGGGAGACAGGGAAACACAAGGGGAGUAGAAGGCUUCAGUAGAAGAUUUCAGUAGAGGCUGAAAUCUACUGAUAUGUACACCUCCAAGGACACAUGUGUCACAUCAGAAUAGUUGCUGAAUCCCACUGGGCCUCUAUUUCCUCACGUGUAAAAUGGGAAUAAUAAAACUCCUACUUCACAGGGCUGUGGAUUGGA
This 840-nucleotide long non-coding RNA is filed under the name Pongo abelii (Sumatran orangutan). Its description in RNAcentral is "lincRNA". The record is from RNAcentral. Lineage: Eukaryota; Metazoa; Chordata; Mammalia; Primates; Hominidae.